This 83-nucleotide non-coding RNA is filed under the name Calothrix sp. RNAcentral describes it as "Fluoride sequence". It matches the Rfam family "Fluoride riboswitch aptamer (crcB RNA motif)". RNAcentral also lists the same sequence under 1 other name. The record is from RNAcentral. Lineage: Bacteria; Bacillati; Cyanobacteriota; Cyanophyceae; Nostocales; Calotrichaceae.
AACGACUAUGGCGAUGGAGCUCGCCAAAACCGCCUCUUCAGUAAAAGAUUUAUAACUGCAAGGCUGAUGGCUCCUACUUUUCC